This 510-nucleotide ribosomal RNA is filed under the name uncultured bacterium. Its description in RNAcentral is "bacterial SSU rRNA". It matches the Rfam family "Bacterial small subunit ribosomal RNA", at positions 13 to 518 of the family's 1533-position model. The record is from RNAcentral.
CGGAUUCUGGCUCAGGAUGAACGCUAGCGGCAGGCUUAACACAUGCAAGUCGAGGGGCAUCGGGAGUAGCAAUACUGCCGGCGACCGGCGCAAGGGUGCGUAACGCGUGAGCAACAUGCCCGUAUCAGGGGGAUAAUCCAUGGAAACGUGGUCUAAUACCCCAUAGUAAUUAUGUAAGGCAUCUUAUAUAAUUUAAAGCUUUGGUGGAUACGGAUUGGCUCGCGUGACAUUAGCUAGAUGGUAAGGUAACGGCUUACCAUGGCUACGAUGUCUAGGGGUUCUGAGAGGAAGGUCCCCCACACUGGAACUGAGACACGGUCCAGACUCCUACGGGAGGCAGCAGUGAGGAAUAUUGGACAAUGGAUGGAAAUCUGAUCCAGCCAUGCCGCGUGCAAGGAAGACGGCCCUAUGGGUUGUAAACUGCUUUUGUAUGGGAGCAAUAAGGGCUACGCGUAGUCCGAUGAGAGUACCAUACGAAUAAGCACCGGCUAACUCCGUGCCAGCCGCCGC